This is a non-coding RNA of Cinara cedri, 836 nucleotides long. NCBI's taxonomy places the organism in Eukaryota, Metazoa, Arthropoda, Insecta, Hemiptera, Aphididae. The record is from the annotation of a GenBank genome assembly.
AAACCAAAUAAAGGACCUCUAAGAUUAAUAGUUGAAAAUGUCUAUACAAAUUUCAAGUAAUGCAUCGCCGCACAGAAAUUUCGUAUAUUUUGAGGUACUGCAUGAAAAAAUUGUCGACAUUUGCUUAAGAAAACAAAUGUUUUAAAACUUUUCGAAACAUUUUUCAAAAAAAGUAGCAUCUGUCAAAAAUCCUUGUCUCUUAAGAUAUAACAUGAAAAAUUGGACCAUUUUUACUAACCAUGAAAAGUGUUUUCUAAGAAUAAAAACACUUCAUAGUGACUUAGAGCUUCUUCAUAGAUACACUAUGAAACUUGAAAAUAGUAUUAGACCUUUUGGAUUUCCUGUCGUGAACAUAUCCUGGAUGCGGUGUUAAAAAUGUCCCAAUAAUACGUUGUUAAUAAUAAUUUUGGUACCCGAUGCAGAGAAAUGAUGCUAACAAUAAGACAUUAUUUUAUCGGCCAUACGGAAAUGUUGUGACAUCACGCGUAUCCCAAGAGAAAACGGACCGACAAAGGAUUCCGAUGACGUUAACACAAAAUAAUAAUAUUAUCGCGUAACGGCAUUUUCGGGCAGCUAUCCAUGAAUUUUAUGUCAGGCUGACUUGACACAAAGCGGAUGGACAUAGAUGGCCCGUGAUUUCGUAUUCCGAUGGAAACAAUAUACUUACUAUAUUGCAUAUAUCAUUGGAGGAACGAGAUCGAUUUGAAUUCCUUGCAAGGACAAUACGAGUAGAGAUGCGUAACUACCGAUAAAAAAUGUUUAAUAAAUUCUCCCGUUAAAAUAUACGUAAAUUAACAUACAUUUUGAGAGUUGGGUGAAGUUUUUAUUAGAAAUAA